Cricetulus griseus (Chinese hamster) is the source of this 102-nucleotide small nuclear RNA. Lineage: Eukaryota; Metazoa; Chordata; Mammalia; Rodentia; Cricetidae. The record is from Ensembl.
GCUCUCUCUGGCAGUGCAUCUACUAAAAUUGCAAUGCUACAGAGAGCAGCAUGGCUCCUGUGCAAGGAUGACACACAAAUUGCAAAGUGCUCCACAGUUUUU